RNAcentral lists this long non-coding RNA (243 nucleotides) under Capsicum annuum. RNAcentral describes it as "long non-coding RNA (CANN_LNC021012)". The record is from RNAcentral. Lineage: Eukaryota; Viridiplantae; Streptophyta; Magnoliopsida; Solanales; Solanaceae.
CGGCAAAUGUGCUUGUAUCCAGGUGAAGAAGUAAAACCACCAAAGCAACUGCUUAAUAUUAUCACUAAUUUAAGGAGGAAUUGAGUAGUUCAUUACUUGCCUCUUCGCUAUGAGCCAUCCAAAAAUUACUAUCGACUACUUUUCAUUGUUGGAUUCAUUUUUUGCUUCUUUCUAUUGAACUCAAAAAGAAAAACUAAUUGUAUAGCUUUCAAUUAUUUGGUCCAUCAACUAUCUAGAAAUUCU